Molecule: ribosomal RNA, 425 nt
Filed under: uncultured bacterium
Lineage: Bacteria
Description: partial 16S ribosomal RNA
Rfam family: Bacterial small subunit ribosomal RNA
Source: RNAcentral
GUGGGGAAUCUUAGACAAUGGGCGCAAGCCUGAUCUAGCCAUGCCGCGUGAGUGAUGAAGGCCCUAGGGUUGUAAAGCUCUUUCAGCUGGGAAGAUAAUGACGGUACCAGCAGAAGAAGCCCCGGCUAACUCCGUGCCAGCAGCCGCGGUAAUACGGAGGGGGCUAGCGUUGUUCGGAAUUACUGGGCGUAAAGCGCGCGUAGGCGGACUGAAAAGUUGGGGGUGAAAUCCCGGGGCUCAACCUCGGAACUGCCUUCAAAACUAUCAGUCUGGAGUUCGAGAGAGGUGAGUGGAAUUCCGAGUGUAGAGGUGAAAUUCGUAGAUAUUCGCAAGAACACCGGUGGCGAAGGCGGCCAACUGGUCCAUUACUGACGCUGAGGUGCGAAAGCGUGGGGAGCAAACAGGAUUAGAUACCCGAGUAGUCC